CGAAUGCUGACAUAAGUAACGAUAAAGCGGGUGAAAAGCCCGCUCGCCGGAAGACCAAGGGUUCCUGUCCAACGUUAAUCGGGGCAGGGUGAGUCGACCCCUAAGGCGAGGCCGAAAGGCGUAGUCGAUGGGAAACAGGUUAAUAUUCCUGUACUUGGUGUUACUGCGAAGGGGGGACGGAGAAGGCUAUGUUGGCCGGGCGACGGUUGUCCCGGUUUAAGCGUGUAGGCUGGUUUUCCAGGCAAAUCCGGAAAAUCAAGGCUGAGGCGUGAUGACGAGGCACUACGGUGCUGAAGCAACAAAUGCCCUGCUUCCAGGAAAAGCCUCUAAGCAUCAGGUAACAUCAAAUCGUACCCCAAACCGACACAGGUGGUCAGGUAGAGAAUACCAAGGCGCUUGAGAGAACUCGGGUGAAGGAACUAGGCAAAAUGGUGCCGUAACUUCGGGAGAAGGCACGCUGAUAUGUAGGUGAAGUCCCUCGCGGAUGGAGCUGAAAUCAGUCGAAGAUACCAGCUGGCUGCAACUGUUUAUUAAAAACACAGCACUGUGCAAACACGAAAGUGGACGUAUACGGUGUGACGCCUGCCCGGUGCCGGAAGGUUAAUUGAUGGGGUUAGCGCAAGCGAAGCUCUUGAUCGAAGCCCCGGUAAACGGCGGCCGUAACUAUAACGGUCCUAAGGUAGCGAAAUUCCUUGUCGGGUAAGUUCCGACCUGCACGAAUGGCGUAAUGAUGGCCAGGCUGUCUCCACCCGAGACUCAGUGAAAUUGAACUCGCUGUGAAGAUGCAGUGUACCCGCGGCAAGACGGAAAGACCCCGUGAACCUUUACUAUAGCUUGACACUGAACAUUGAGCCUUGAUGUGUAGGAUAGGUGGGAGGCUUAGAAGUGUGGACGCCAGUCUGCAUGGAGCCGACCUUGAAAUACCACCCUUUAAUGUUUGAUGUUCUAACGUUGACCCGUAAUCCGGGUUGCGGACAGUGUCUGGUGGGUAGUUUGACUGGGGCGGUCUCCUCCUAAAGAGUAACGGAGGAGCACGAAGGUUGGCUAAUCCUGGUCGGACAUCAGGAGGUUAGUGCAAUGGCAUAAGCCAGCUUGACUGCGAGCGUGACGGCGCGAGCAGGUGCGAAAGCAGGUCAUAGUGAUCCGGUGGUUCUGAAUGGAAGGGCCAUCGCUCAACGGAUAAAAGGUACUCCGGGGAUAACAGGCUGAUACCGCCCAAGAGUUCAUAUCGACGGCGGUGUUUGGCACCUCGAUGUCGGCUCAUCACAUCCUGGGGCUGAAGUAGGUCCCAAGGGUAUGGCUGUUCGCCAUUUAAAGUGGUACGCGAGCUGGGUUUAGAACGUCGUGAGACAGUUCGGUCCCUAUCUGCCGUGGGCGCUGGAGAACUGAGGGGGGCUGCUCCUAGUACGAGAGGACCGGAGUGGACGCAUCACUGGUGUUCGGGUUGUCAUGCCAAUGGCACUGCCCGGUAGCUAAAUGCGGAAGAGAUAAGUGCUGAAAGCAUCUAAGCACGAAACUUGCC
This 1522-nucleotide ribosomal RNA is filed under the name Escherichia coli. RNAcentral describes it as "partial 23S ribosomal RNA". It matches the Rfam family "Bacterial large subunit ribosomal RNA", at positions 1291 to 2798 of the family's 2925-position model. Lineage: Bacteria; Pseudomonadati; Pseudomonadota; Gammaproteobacteria; Enterobacterales; Enterobacteriaceae. The record is from RNAcentral.